This 253-nucleotide ribosomal RNA is filed under the name uncultured bacterium. Its description in RNAcentral is "partial 16S ribosomal RNA". It matches the Rfam family "Bacterial small subunit ribosomal RNA", at positions 524 to 776 of the family's 1533-position model. The record is from RNAcentral.
UACGGAGGGGGCUAGCGUUAUUCGGAAUUACUGGGCGUAAAGCGCACGUAGGCGGCUUUGUAAGUAAGAGGUGAAAGCCCGGAGCUCAACUCCGGAACUGCCUUUUAGACUGCAUCGCUUGAAUCCAGGAGAGGUGAGUGGAAUUCCGAGUGUAGAGGUGAAAUUCGUAGAUAUCGAGAGGAACACCGGUGGCGAAGGCGGCCAACUGGACGAACACUGACGCUGAGACUCGAAAGCGUGGGGAGCAAACAGG